CUACGGGACGCACCAGUGGGGAAUAUUGCACAAUGGGCGCAAGCCUGAUGCAGCCAUGCCGCGUGUAUGAAGAAGGCCUUCGGGUUGUAAAGUACUUUCAGCGGGGAGGAAGGGAGUAAAGUUAAUACCUUUGCUCAUUGACGUUACCCGCAGAAGAAGCACCGGCUAACUCCGUGCCAGCAGCCGCGGUGAAUACGGAGGGUGCAAGCGUUAAUCGGAAUUACUGGGCGUAAAGCGCACGCAGGCGGUUUGUUAAGUCAGAUGUGAAAUCCCCGGGCUCAACCUGGGAACUGCAUCUGAUACUGGCAAGCUUGAGUCUCGUAGAGGGGGGUAGAAUUCCAGGUGUAGCGGUGAAAUGCGUAGAGAUCUGGAGGAAUACCGGUGGCGAAGGCGGCCCCCUGGACGAAGACUGACGCUCAGGUGCGAAAGCGUGGGGAGCAAACAGGAUUAGAUACCCCCGUAGUC
This 465-nucleotide ribosomal RNA is filed under the name uncultured bacterium. Its description in RNAcentral is "partial 16S ribosomal RNA". It matches the Rfam family "Bacterial small subunit ribosomal RNA", at positions 339 to 795 of the family's 1533-position model. The record is from RNAcentral.